RNAcentral lists this ribosomal RNA (1536 nucleotides) under Muribaculaceae bacterium Isolate-083 (Janvier). Its description in RNAcentral is "bacterial SSU rRNA". It matches the Rfam family "Bacterial small subunit ribosomal RNA". RNAcentral also lists the same sequence under 3 other names. The record is from RNAcentral. Lineage: Bacteria; Pseudomonadati; Bacteroidota; Bacteroidia; Bacteroidales; Muribaculaceae.
AACAACGAAGAGUUUGAUCCUGGCUCAGGAUGAACGCUAGCGACAGGCUUAACACAUGCAAGUCGAGGGGCAGCGGGGAGGUAGCAAUACUUCCGCCGGCGACCGGCGCACGGGUGAGUAACACGUAUGGAACCUGCCCGUAGCAGGGGGAUAAGCGGAAGAAAUUCCGUCUAAUACCGCGUAAUAACUCCGAGAGGCAUCUCCUGGGGUUUAAAGGGUAACACCGGCUACGGAUGGCCAUGCGGCGCAUUAGCUAGUUGGCGGGGUAACGGCCCACCAAGGCGACGAUGCGUAGGGGUUCUGAGAGGAAGGUCCCCCACACUGGUACUGAGACACGGACCAGACUCCUACGGGAGGCAGCAGUGAGGAAUAUUGGUCAAUGGGCGCGAGCCUGAACCAGCCAAGUCGCGUGAGGGAAGACGGUCCUAUGGAUUGUAAACCUCUUUUGUCGGGGAGCAAAAGACGCCACGCGUGGCGUUCCGAGAGUACCCGAAGAAAAAGCAUCGGCUAACUCCGUGCCAGCAGCCGCGGUAAUACGGAGGAUGCGAGCGUUAUCCGGAUUUAUUGGGUUUAAAGGGUGCGCAGGCGGAAGAUCAAGUCAGCGGUAAAAUUGAGAGGCUCAACCUCUUCGAGCCGUUGAAACUGGUUUUCUUGAGUGAGCGAGAAGUAUGCGGAAUGCGUGGUGUAGCGGUGAAAUGCAUAGAUAUCACGCAGAACUCCGAUUGCGAAGGCAGCAUACCGGCGCUCAACUGACGCUCAUGCACGAAAGUGUGGGUAUCGAACAGGAUUAGAUACCCUGGUAGUCCACACAGUAAACGAUGAAUACUAAUUGUUCGGGGAGAAUGAUCCCUGAGUGAUACAGCGAAAGCGUUAAGUAUUCCACCUGGGGAGUACGCCGGCAACGGUGAAACUCAAAGGAAUUGACGGGGGCCCGCACAAGCGGAGGAACAUGUGGUUUAAUUCGAUGAUACGCGAGGAACCUUACCCGGGCUCAAACGACACAGGAAUACUUUUGAAAGGAGGUAGCUCUACGGAGCCUGUGUCGAGGUGCUGCAUGGUUGUCGUCAGCUCGUGCCGUGAGGUGUCGGCUUAAGUGCCAUAACGAGCGCAACCCCCAUCGCCAGUUACCAGCAAGUCAAGUUGGGGACUCUGGCGAGACUGCCGGCGCAAGCUGUGAGGAAGGCGGGGAUGACGUCAAAUCAGCACGGCCCUUACGUCCGGGGCGACACACGUGUUACAAUGGCAGGUACAGAGAGAAGCAAUGCGGCGACGCAAAGCGGAACUUGAAAGCCUGUCUCAGUUCGGAUUGGAGUCUGCAACUCGACUCCAUGAAGCUGGAUUCGCUAGUAAUCGCGCAUCAGCCAUGGCGCGGUGAAUACGUUCCCGGGCCUUGUACACACCGCCCGUCAAGCCAUGGAAGCCGGGAGUGCCUGAAGUGUGCAACCGCAAGGAGCGCCCUAAGGUAAAACUGGUGACUGGGGCUAAGUCGUAACAAGGUAGCCGUACCGGAAGGUGCGGCUGGAACACCUCCUUUCU